GACGAACGCUGGCGGCGUGCUUAACACAUGCAAGUCGAACGGAAAGGCCCUGCUUUUGUGGGGUGCUCGAGUGGCGAACGGGUGAGUAACACGUGAGUAACCUGCCCUUGACUUUGGGAUAACUUCAGGAAACUGGGGCUAAUACCGGAUAGGAGCUCCUGCUGCAUGGUGGGGGUUGGAAAGUUUCGGCGGGUGGGGAUGGACUCGCGGCUUAUCAGCUUGUUGGUGGGGUAGUGGCUUACCAAGGCCUUGACGGGUAGCCGGCCUGAGAGGGUGACCGGCCACAUUGGGACUGAGAUACGGCCCAGACUCCUACGGGAGGCAGCAGUGGGGAAUAUUGCACAAUGGGCGGAAGCCUGAUGCAGCAACGCCGCGUGCGGGAUGACGGCCUUCGGGUUGUAAACCGCUUUCGCCUGUGACGAAGCGUGAGUGACGGUAAUGGGUAAAGAAGCACCGGCUAACUACGUG
RNAcentral lists this ribosomal RNA (468 nucleotides) under uncultured bacterium. RNAcentral describes it as "partial 16S ribosomal RNA". It matches the Rfam family "Bacterial small subunit ribosomal RNA", at positions 28 to 507 of the family's 1533-position model. The record is from RNAcentral.